RNAcentral lists this small RNA (723 nucleotides) under Pan troglodytes (chimpanzee). Its description in RNAcentral is "retained intron". Lineage: Eukaryota; Metazoa; Chordata; Mammalia; Primates; Hominidae. The record is from RNAcentral.
GCAGAGGCUGGCGGGGAGCAGCCGGGGUUAUGCUGGGCAAGGAUUACAUGCUGGCCAUCAUUCUGGUCAACUGCGAUGAUGACUUGUGGGAGGACCACAGUCUGGAGGGGGAGGCUGGCCUGCCUCCUGGCUGGAGGAAGAUCCACGAUGCUGCAGGUACUUACUACUGGCAUGUACCCAGCGGUAGCACCCAGUGGCAGCGCCCAACCUGGGAACUAGGAGAUGCAGAGGACCCAGGCACGGGAACGGAGGGGAUCUGGGGACUGCGGCCCCCCAAAGGGAGAUCCUUCUCCAGCCUGGAGAGUUCACUGGACCGGAGUAACUCUCUGUCCUGGUAUGGUGAGGAAUCCUACAUCCAGAGCAUGGAGCCAGGGGCUAAGUGCUUUGCAGUCCGCUCUCUGGGCUGGGUAGAAGUACCUGAAGAGGACCUGGCACCGGGGAAGAGCAGUAUUGCAGUCAAUAACUGUAUCCAGCAGCUGGCCCAGACCCGCAGCCGGAGCCAGCCUCCAGAUGGUGCCUGGGGUGAGGGCCAGAACAUGCUGAUGAUCCUGAAGAAGGAUGCCAUGAGCCUAGUGAAUCCCGUGGACCACAGUCUGAUCCACUGCCAGCCUCUGGUGCACAUCCGUGUGUGGGGCGUGGGGAGCUCCAAGGGCCGGUGAGGAUGCCUACAUCCCCCAAGCAAGAGCUACUUCUCCCUCCCGGCUGCAGGCUGUGAUCCCCACU